RNAcentral lists this ribosomal RNA (545 nucleotides) under Conus infrenatus. RNAcentral describes it as "partial 12S ribosomal RNA". The record is from RNAcentral. Lineage: Eukaryota; Metazoa; Mollusca; Gastropoda; Neogastropoda; Conidae.
AAACCAAGAAAUUUAGUCAUUCUUUUAUGGUAAAAAGACAGUUAAGUAAGGGUUAAAUCAUUAGAUCUUUAGUAUAGGGGUAAAAUCUAAAUGCUAAGAGUUAUACCUAAAAUGGUUUGUUUAGACACUGAAUCUGUGACAACUUUAAGGGAAACUGGGAUUGGGUACCCCAUUAUUUUUAGUUAUAAAUUAAUUUUAAAUUUACCAGAGUACUACGAAUAAAAAAUUUAAAACUCAAAGGGCUUGGCGGUGUUUUAGACCUCUCAGGGGAACCUGUCUCAUAAUCGACAAUCCACGUUAAACCUAACCCUUUAUGGCAAUUCAGCUUGUAUACCAUUGUCGUCAGGUAACUUCUUAAAAUAUAAUAGUUAGCUAGAAAAUUUUGUUAAUUAAAACGUCAGAUCAAGGUGCAGCUAAUAAAAGGGAGAGGAUGGGUUACAAUUAUAUAUUUAUAAUUACGGAAAAUAUUUGAAAUGAAUAUUUAUAAGGAGGACUUGAAAGUAAUUUUAAUUAUAUAAAUAAAAUGAAUAAGGCUCUGAAACGUG